This 253-nucleotide ribosomal RNA is filed under the name uncultured prokaryote. Its description in RNAcentral is "partial 16S ribosomal RNA". It matches the Rfam family "Bacterial small subunit ribosomal RNA", at positions 525 to 777 of the family's 1533-position model. The record is from RNAcentral.
ACGUAGGCAGCAAGCGUUGUUCGGAAUUACUGGGCGUAAAGAGUACGUAGGUGGUUUGCUAAGUCCGAUGUGAAAUCUCCUGGCUUAACUGGGAGGGUGCGUUAGAUACUGGCAGGCUUGAGUGUGGGAGAGGAGAGCGGAAUUCCUGGUGUAGCGGUGAAAUGCGUAGAUAUCAGGAGGAACGCCUGUGGUGUAGACGGCUCUCUGGACCAUUACUGACACUGAGGUACGAAAGCGUGGGGAGCAAACAGGA